AGGGUGUAAACGCUGCAGACUUGGUGUUGGGAACCCUUCGGGGGUGCUCAGUGCCGGAGAGAAGUUGUUAAGUCUGCUACUUGGGGAGUACGUCCGCAAGGAUGAAACUUAAAGGAAUUGGGCGGGGGAGCACCGCAACGGGAGGAGCGUGCGGUUUAAUUGGAUUCAACGACCGAAAAACUCACCAGCAGCGACUGUUACAUGAAAGUCAGGUUGAUGACCUUACUAGAUUUCAGAGAGGAGGUGCAUGGCGUCAGUGACU
Molecule: ribosomal RNA, 262 nt
Filed under: uncultured archaeon
Lineage: Archaea
Description: partial 16S ribosomal RNA
Rfam family: Archaeal small subunit ribosomal RNA
Source: RNAcentral